GAAAUGCGAUAAGUAGUGUGAAUUGCAGAAUUACGUGAAUCAUCGAAUCUUUGAACGCAAAUUGCACUCUCUGGUAUUCCGGGGAGUAUGCCUGUUUGAGGGUCGCUUAAUAAACAUCGAUUUUCAUUGUUUUUUUUUAAAGCGAUGUUUAUCGGAUUUGAGCCGUCUUUUUAUAUAUAUAUAUAUUAUUUAAAAAGUGGCUUAAAAUUGAUUUUUCUGGUAUGAUCGGAAGCGUAUUUUUAUGAUCAAUUUUUGGUUAAGGAAACGCAGACGUACCAAUCAUUCAUAUGAUGUAAUACGUUUGACUAUUGGAUUUAGUUCAUUCGUAUACGAUAUUUUUCAAAUUUUGACCUCAAAUCAGGUAAGAACACCCGCUGAACUUAA
Molecule: unclassified non-coding RNA, 384 nt
Filed under: uncultured Glomeromycotina
Lineage: Eukaryota; Fungi; Glomeromycota
Description: sequence contains ITS1
Rfam family: 5.8S ribosomal RNA (bases 1-105)
Source: RNAcentral